Molecule: long non-coding RNA, 211 nt
Filed under: Theobroma cacao (cacao)
Lineage: Eukaryota; Viridiplantae; Streptophyta; Magnoliopsida; Malvales; Malvaceae
Description: long non-coding RNA (TCAC_LNC000656)
Source: RNAcentral
UUAAAAGAGUUAACAGAGCGUCGACCAUGAGGCACGGGAGAUUCCAAAAGCAGUUUGUGAACGUGCAUUUUGGUGAGAAGUCGGUCAGUAGAAAGAAGAGGUUUCGGGAAUCCGAGCCGUCUCCCAGAGAUUUUCAAGUGUCAAGGGAGGGACACAACAGCGCAGAGUUGAGUGUCUUUUACUUCCACGGCGAUCAAUAAUUACAUUGCAU